CCGUUUCUCUUUCGGUAGCCAGUACCCAUCCCACCCUUUUUUCUCCACCCAGACCGACCCACCUUGCUUUCUUCCCCACAAGCGCUGCCAAUGGCGCCGUCCCCCGGACUCCCCCACAAGUAUUGCUUCCACUGGUCACUGACACUCUUGUCGGCGGAUGCGGGGAGAUGGCUGGAGCGGGGAUGCGAAGAUGUACCCCUCGGGUAGUCGGUGGGGUGGCCAAGAAAGGUGCCGGCGGCGGAGCGGCUUGGCCGCCCACUCCACGGAACGAGCGAGGGCGGCCGCCCACCUGCACGGCGCGGGCCACGCUGCCCUGUUAAUCCAUGUUCCCUGAUUAUCAAGUAUGUCCGCUGCAGGUUCUCCAUUAAAAGACUUUCCCUAGCCGCAAUGCGCAGACCGAGUGGCUCGUCGCCUUGUGGACGGACUCAGAUUCGAGGAAGCUACCCCAGUGCGUCCCUGUUCCGGCUUCUUCCCGGAGGCCCGGCUGAUAUUCUGUAGAAGUUCCUGCCGGUUUCGUCCCAGAUCUCCCGGGCAGAUGCGGUAGCACGGAACCUGUUCGUGCUUGGAAACAAGGAAGAGGACGGCUGGAUCUCUGGGAUGAUGGCGUGAAUGGAGCAGAGGAUAUCGCGAUGCUGACGAGCCCUACUGCGAGCGCCCUCUGGUCCACCUUCAAUCCAAGAAAGGCGAGAUUUAUAGAAUGAAGAUGAUGGUUUGGCUGGACUGACAUGUGACGGCAGCGAGCGAAGUGCUGCAGACAGACGGUGACUUGGUCAGACCGAUGACAGCGAGGGGAGCAGAUUGGGAAGGCACCUUAUAACACGUCGUGGGGCUCCGUUCAUUGCUUUGAUCAGGCACCUUUGUCAAAUAAGGCAUGCGCUGUGUAUCUUGCACAGGACUCUUUGCCAAGUCAAAAGAAGCCAAGAAGGUGGGUCUGCAAUGGAUACCUUUCUGUUGUAAAGGUCAUGCUUAAAUGUGUUGCCUGGCACCAGUAAGAGAAAACCGCGGUUCUCUGGUACACUUGAGGUGCUGCGCGGUGGUAUCCCAAAGCGCCGGUGGCGCGCAGGAGCCGGAGAAGAAGACCAGAACAGCUACCAUAUAAGAAUUAGAGACAAAUUGACUAGUUUUAUUUCUGCAUGCAGUUCUAAUUUAUAAAAUUUCUGGAAACUUAUGGAACAAAAUCAUUCCCGUGCAUGCACCAUUUCUCUUCAGAUUGCUGCAAAAAUUCUUGUAAGGCAUUCAUAGAUGAAUUUCUGCUGAAAUUGUUGUACAACAUGCAAAGAGUCAUAUCUGUGUAUUAAUGUUUGUAACUUGAUUCAGUGAA
Long non-coding RNA from Lolium perenne, 1321 nucleotides. RefSeq lists it as uncharacterized. The record is from RefSeq and is a predicted model, not a curated record. Lineage: Eukaryota; Viridiplantae; Streptophyta; Magnoliopsida; Poales; Poaceae.